This 381-nucleotide ribosomal RNA is filed under the name uncultured eukaryote. RNAcentral describes it as "SSU rRNA". It matches the Rfam family "Eukaryotic small subunit ribosomal RNA", at positions 587 to 972 of the family's 1831-position model. The record is from RNAcentral. RNAcentral also lists the same sequence under 1 other name.
AGCUCCAAUAGCGUAUAUUUAAGUUGUUGCAGUUAAAAAGCUCGUAGUUGGAACUUGGGACGUAAAGGUCGGUCCGCCUACUCGGUGUGCACCUGCCCUUCCGUCCCUUUUGUCGGCGGCGUGCUCCUGGCCUUAAUUGGCUGGGUCGCGGUUCCGGCGCUGUUACUUUGAAAAAAUUAGAGUGCUCAAAGCAAGCUUAUGCUCUGAAUACAUUAGCACGGAAUAACGUGAUAGGAGUCUGGUCCUAUUGUGUUGGCCUUCGGGACCGGAGUAAUGAUUAAUAGGGACUGUCGGGGGCAUUCGUAUUUCAUUGUCAGAGGUGAAAUUCUUGGAUUUAUGAAAGACGGACCACUGCGAAAGCAUUUGCCAAGGAUGUUUUCA